UGCAGUCAGUCCCCUAGGCGGCGAGCGC
This 28-nucleotide small RNA is filed under the name Bombyx mori (domestic silkworm). RNAcentral describes it as "ovarian small RNA-3740". Lineage: Eukaryota; Metazoa; Arthropoda; Insecta; Lepidoptera; Bombycidae. The record is from RNAcentral.